CAGAUCAGACGAUAAGUUUUCCAAAAGGAAUAUUAAACAACCUUUGUGUUCGAGUUGGUACCUUGUACGCCCCAGCAGACUUCGUGGUGAUAGAGACCGGUAAUGAUGAGAGGGCACCCAUCAUCUUAGGGAGGCCAUUCUUAAACACCUUGGGAGCUGUCAUCUACACUAGUGCUACCAAGAUCAGUUUUUACAUCAAAGGGAGGAAGGAGACGUUUUCCUUCAAGAACAAGACUACACAAAUCCCAGACCAAUCUAGACGUGAACCAAGGAAGAGGACCAACAGGAGGAACAGGAACAAGCAAGUGUGGACCGAGUCAGCUAAGAUGGUCACUAGAGUUCAUGGAGGUCAAGAUCAACAACUUAAGUCACCGUUUCUGACCAAGAAGGAUGACCCAGGAAUGCCAAGCAUCUAUUGCUCCAUAAAUGGAUACAACUUCUACAAGACGACUUGCGACACCGGAUCGGGCGUCAAUAUAAUAGCCGCAGUCACCUAUCGGCUCUUGUUCGGAACCAUGCCCCUGAAACCAACAUACAUUCAGAUCCAGAUGGCAGAUCAGACAUUUGGAGAGGUUAAAGGAAUAGUGACUGAUGUCCCUGUCAAAAUAGACGAUCAUUUUGUCUACACAGACUUUCAGGUUAUUGACAUGGGAGAAGACGAGUAUGAUCCACCCAUCAUCCUUAGAAGACCAUUCCUCAGCACCGUUAAAGCAAUUAUCUACAUUGGAACUGGAGAAGUCUAUAUGCACUUUCCCUCAGAGAAGGUACACCGCUAUUUUACUGAUCCUAACUAUAUCAUUGAAGACUCUAAGCAGGUCAGAAAACGACGCAACCACAACCAGAGGAGGGAAAUUAUCAAGGACGGAUGUGCAGACUAUGAAGGAGAAGUGGUAAGGUCAGAAGACAUACAGUUUAAACAGAAUUAUCCACAGGAGACCGUAGCACCAAGUCAGGUGUGGAGAGAGAAGAUAACUAUACAUGAAGAGGAGGCGCUGCCGGAAGUACCGACUACGCCACCCAACAAAUUCCAGGACAACUAAGAAAAUGGAGAGUCCCGUUCGGAGGACUUAAAAACACCGAACGCCUUGCCAAGAGGUAAACUUGGUAGUUAUCCCUUUUCCUUUCAAUUAUUUCAAAUAGCUAGAUUAGUUAAUCAUGUUCGUACUAUCUUAAAAUGAAAAUAAAAAUGUUUAAAACAGUAAGUCCCAUGUGAGUAUACGAGUGGCAUAAACUCUAUAAGUACAUUCACCGUGGUGGCAUAAAAAUAAAAUAAAUAUUUUUUCUGCUUUAUAAAAAUGAAAAUAUAAAAAAAUAGAGAGUAACCUUUAUUGAGGAGGCUCAACAUGAUAAAGGCUAGAUAUUUAUGCUAACACCUAAUCAGUUCUACAAAGCUUUGUUGUCUAUUUUAGCUCCACCGAAUUCAAGGAUCAAGAAGACUAGCCUACGGAGGACAUCCUAAUCGCUGUCACGGUGCUACCGACUUUCAAAUACACCUCUACCACCUGCUAGCUACAUCAGAAGAAAUUACGUCAAAAUUCAGCUUGGGGGAGAGCACCCCCAUUUAUUCCGCUAAGUAUUUCUAUCUACAUAUUUAUACUUAUACUAUAUUAAAAUAUAAAUAUACAUAACCAUGAAAAACCAAAUAAAGAUUUGGUGCCUAUAUAAAUAUAUAUGUCUUUUGCUUAGUGUGUUUAAUAAAUAAAUAAAGAGGCUAUGCUAAACUGAAUCUUAAUAAUAAAAUUCUAGCAUGGAUAUGAUGAAUAGUUGCUCUGCCUAUUUUUUUAAAAAUUUUAGUUCUCUCUCAAGUUUAGACACAACUGUUAUAAUUUAAAGCUUGCUCUAAACCUAAACUUGUGGGAAGAGAACUUGAUCUGAAGUCUAAGUUGUUAACGGAUAUGAUAUGGAAAGGUUGAGCUGCUGUUUAUCUGUUCCUAGAGAUGCUAGAAUUUUGGAGAAUUUUAUCUUUGGAAAUCUUUAAAAUAUCACAUGAUGAGUUCCUGUAUGAUGAGAGUUUAAAUUCCUACCACAGCCCUAUAUACAUGCUUGCUAGACUUUGAGCCACACAUUUACUCUUUACUGCUUAUGAGCAUUGAGUGUUGUCAAGCUGUGUAGACCCUUAGGAGCUUGUCAUGUAGUUAAAUCAAGAUUCACUUGCACGUUCACUCACUCAUGCUGCUUCUACUCCGGAAGUACGCAUCAACAUAUAUCCACUCAUUUCCAUCUCCAGAAACACCCAAAAAUAUUCUACUCCUAAUCCGGGAGAGAAUAGCCAAAAACAUUUCUGUUUUUCCCCUGUGAAAUAAAUGCUCAAGUUAUCUUGGUUACUACCACUUGCUAUAUUAUUUUAGGAGAGGAGUGCUCUAAAAAAAGAGAAAGAAGAAAAAAGGAUACGAGGAAAUAAAAAGGGGCAAGUGCCCAAAACCUCAAAAGAAAAAAAAAGUGAGACGAGAGGUAAAAAUGGACAAGUGUCCGACAGUAGAAUUAGGGGUACAAGAUACCCACCUGAGAGGAAAGAAAAAGAAAAAGAAGAGCAUCUCAUUCCCCUCAAACGUUUCAAAGAGCAAGAAAGGUAUGUAUCCCCUCAAAAGAGCAAAAGUAGAAUUAGACUUUCACCAUUGUUAUCACCAUCAUCACCAUACACCCUGCAUUCGCCACACAUGCACAUCUUGAUUUAACUUAUUGACUUGUUUCUUUGGAUCCAUGGUUUGACUAUGCAAUAAAUGUCUUGUAAGUAUGUAUACUUUAUCUCCCACCUAUGAGCUCCAGAUAUCUAAAGCCUUAUUAGAGUAGGGUGAGAGAGAAGGCAAUGUUACUAUGCCGUAUACCACAAAUACUACAUAUUUUGAGAGAAGGCAUAUACCAUCACUGCCUUGGUAUGGAUCCAGAAAUACCACAAAAGAGAGAUAUGAGAGAGUCAUACAAGGAAUCUCUGAGUUUUAUUUGAAAAUCAGCAAAAUCUCCAGAGCUAUAGCUGAUCAAGAAUAAGAGACAUGGCACUUGACUAGACCGUUCUAUCUUUUAUCUGCUCAAGACAGAAGUGACGGUUACAAGUCCCAGGGUGAAAGGUAAAAUGAGUAAGUUUUAAGUCUUGACAGUUUACUCUAACUCAGAGAUGAGACCUUAUUUGAAAGCAUGUGUACCGUCAACUUUUAAAGGCAUUCCAACAACUUCUGAUCCAUCACUGAGAUUAUCCUUGCUCAGGGAAGAGCAAGAGGUAAGCUUGGGGGAGUUUGUUGAUAGUCCUUAAGUAUCAAAUUUAAUCAUCAAAUAAACAAAGAAAAGGAUCCAAAUGCAAUCGACAUCCAGACUUAGGGUUUUAUCUAACAGAAUUCCACGAGUUUUGGUGUUUGUCUAUUUUUGCAGGGGGUUAUUAGGAAUUAUGGAAGAAAUGCCCACACGUCGGGAUUACAUAGAGAUAUUAACGUGCCGUGCAAUUAUCUUACAUCUAGAAGACUCCAGAAGCCACGAGAACGAAGCGGAGGCGAAAUGGGGCCUGGCCUAGGGCGCCCGCCCAGGAGACCAGGGCGCCCGCCCCUUGUUGGAGUCCAAUCAGGACACUCUUUCGGGAUUACGCUCCACCGACCUAAAGGAUCAAGGAUAACCGUUCAAUCAAUGUCGGUUUGAUCCGAGGGCCCAUAUUCACUUGGAGUGACUAUAAAACCAGACCCCUGGCCCCUAGAGGAGAGAGCCUCUCAACCCUAACUCAUUAUUCCUCAAGGGAGAAGAAGCCUCUGAUCAAGCCUAGAGCCACCACAUCAAUUAGACAUCUAGAUUAGCAUAGCUACUUAGGAUUAGAACUAGAAGGAGUCAAUCUUCGAUUGGUUUCUGGAUCUGUCAAGAGGAUUCUUGGUAAUUCUCUAAUUGUUCUUCUAAUUGUUCAUCUUUGUUCUUCAAUAUUAUGAAUAUGACUUUGUUCUACUUCAAUAUAUUGCUUAUGACUUUACUCUACUUGUUUAUAUUCAAGAUUAUAUUGUUCUUAGUUUAUCAUGGUUAUAUACUUGGCUUAGUUAGAUUGGAAUUAUAUACAUGUUUAGGAUCAUAUAGCAUUUAUCCAUCGGAUCCAUGGGGAAAUGAUAGAUAUUAUGUAGACGUGGUGCCUAUAUCGUAUUUAUCUGCGAUUGUACCCAAUAUGCCAGAUCGUGGGGGUGGUUCUUGAUAGUGACAGCUUAAUUGAUUCUUAUAUAGUCCCCCUCUCGUGUAUUGGGCAGGCAGAGCAACAUUAUUACAGGGGAGUGAUUACGAUGUUUCUCAUAUUCCUUGGUAAUAUCACUAUGCAUGGGCGUAGUCUUGUCUCGCAAUGAUUGCUAAGUAUACUUGCACUAACUAUGAUAAUGCUAGACUGUAUAGUUAAGAAUAACUUAGGAAAUUUUCUUGUAGUUCAUCCUAAUUCCAAGAUAAUUACUUGCUAGAAUAUCUAAUUGAGAUGCUUAUCAUAUUACAGGCUAAGUUAUGUUGAUCAGAUUAAUUAUCUUUGUCACUAUUCAUUACUUUAUAUAUCCAUUAUGUGACACUUAUCCCUGUAUGAAAGAGUUAGAUAAAUGUUCUCAAUUAUACAAGAAAUGAUAGAUACUCAAUCUUGUAUUCCAUUCUAUAAUCAACAUUGAUGAUUACUAAUCCCUUCUCAGUGGUAAAAAUAUAAAUAACGAUACCUGGAAUACUUCCCGGUUAAAAUGCUACAUCGGUAUUAAUCUGUGUGCUUGCAGAUCCCAUUCAUUAUUUAUUUAAGAUGAGCAAUUGCAUAUUUCAAUACCGCGUCUCUCAUGUCAUGCUGGGGAUGACAACUUGGCUUAAGUGGUAUGAGGGAUAGGUUUGGCAUUUUUGGCACCGUUAUCAGAAUUAGAAAAUUGUCUACUUUUGGUAGUGAUGUUAAGAAUACCCAACAGACGUGAACUACAUCAACAACAAUAACUACAACUACUACUACAACCGUCCUCAACAAAAUCAAGGUUGGAAUCAACAAAGGCCGAACUACUCAGGUAACUAUCAAGGUAACAAUUCUUACAAUAAUAAUAAUUUUUCACCUCUCAGAGAGUUAGUGUCUAAUCAAGGAAAGCUAAUGGAUAACCUAUCUAAGAAAUUGGCAUCUAAUGAUAAAAUGCUAGAAAAUAUAAAUAAUACAAUGGAUAAUUUCUCUACUCCCAUCAAGAAUCAAAUUAGCUUUAAUAAAAUGAUUGAAUCUCAGUUAAAUCAAAUAGCUGCUGGUGUUCUUGCUACUAACCCCGGUAUACCAUCACAACCGGAAGGAUUAGAAUCUGCAAAUCUUGUAGACAUGUUUGAUACAGGUAACUACUGGAGUAACCCCGGAAGUUACUAAUGACCUUCUGCCGGUCAAGAGAGGCGAUCCAGGACGCCCCAUCAUCCCGAUCUCCAUUGGCAUGGUGGACUUCCCAGAAGCACUCUGCGACUUUGGCUCUAAUGUCAACAUUAUGCCCAGGGUACUCUAUAAAAAAUUCUUUACAUAUCCUUUAUUAGAAACAACCAUGUGUUUGCAAUUUUCAGAUUGGAUGCUAAGUUUCCCAAAAGGAAUAUUGAAGAACCUCUGCGUCCGAGUUGGUACCUUGUACACCCCAGCAGACUUCGUGGUGAUAGAGACCGGUAAUGAUGAGAGGGCACCCGUCAUCUUAGGGAGGCCAUUCCUGAACACCUCGUUAGCUGUCAUCUACGCUAGUGCUGCCAAGAUCAGUUUCUACAUCAAAGGGAGGAAGGAGAUGUUUUCCUUCAAGAACAAGACUACACAAAUCCUAGAGCAAUCCCGACAUGAACCAAAAAAGAGAACCAACAGGAGGAACAGGAACAAGCAAGUGUGGACCGAGUCAGCUAAGAUGGUCACUGCAGUUCAAGGAGGUCAAGAUUGUCGACUCAAGUCACCGUUCCUGACCAAGAAGGACGACCUAGGUAUGCCAAGCAUCCAGUGCUCCAUUAAUGGAUACAACUUCUACAAGAUGCUUUGCGACACCGGAUCAGGCGUCAACAUAAUGGCCGCAGUCACCUAUCAUCUUCUAUUCGGAACCAUGGCCCUAAAACCGACAUACAUUCAGCUCCAGAUGGCAGAUCGGACAUUCCGAAAGGUUGAAGGUAUAGUAACUGACGUCCCUAUCAAAAUAGACGAUCAUUUUGUCCAUACAGACUUUCAGGUUAUUGACAUGGGAGAAGACGAGUACGAUCCACCCAUCUUCCUUGGGAGACGUUUCCUCAGCACUGUUAAAGCAACCAUCUACAUUGGAACUGGAGAAGUUCACAUGCACUUCCCCUCUGAGAAGGUACGCCGCUAUUUCACUAACCCUAAUUAUAUGGUUGAAGACUCUAAGUAGGUCAGGACAAGAAGAAGACGACGCAACCGCAACCAGAGGAGGCAAAUCAUCAAGGACGGAUGGGCGGACUAUGAAGGAGAAGUGGUAAGAUCUGAAGACAUACAGCUUGAACAGAACUACCUUGAGGAGACCGUAGCACCGAGUCACGUGUGGAGAAAGAAGAUAGUUAUACAUGAAGAGGAGGCACCGCCAGAAGCACCGACUACGCCAUCCAACGAAUCCUAGGACGACUGAGAAAACAGAGAGUCCCGUUCGGAGGACUUAAAAACACCGAACGCCUUUUGCCAAGAGGUGAACUUGGUAGUUAUCCUUUUCUUUUCACUUAUUUAAAAUAGUUUGCGUAGUUAAUCAUGUUCAUACUAUCCUAAAAAGAAAAUAAAAAUGUUAAAAAAUAGUAAGCCCCAUGUUAGUAUACGAGUGACAUAAAACCCAUAAGUACAUUCACUGUGGUGGCAUAAAAAUAAAAUAAAAAUAUUCUUCUGCUCUAUAAAAUAUAAAAAUAAGAUUGUGAUCCUACCAAAGAGAGUAACAUUUAUUGAGGAGGCUCAACACGAUAAAGGCUAGAUAUUUAUGCUAACACUUAAUCAGUUCCACAAAGCUUUGUUGUCUAUUUGAGCUCCACAGAAUUCAAGGAUCAAGAAGACUAGCAGACGGAGGAUAUCCUAAUCGCUGUCAGGGUGCUGCCGACUUUCAAAUACACCUCUGCCACCUGCUAGCUAUAUCAGAAGAAAUUACGUCAAAAUUCAGCUCGGGGGAGAGCACCCCUAUUUAUCCCGCUAAGUAUUUCUAUCUAUCUAUAUACUUGUAAUAUAUUAAAAUAAAAAUAUACAUAACCAUGAAAAACCAAAUAAAGAUUUUGUGCUUAUAUAUAUAUAUCAUUUGCUUAGUGUGCUUAAUAAAUAAAUAAAGUAGCUAUGCUAAACUGAAUCUUAAUACAACUCUAGCAUGGACAUGAUGAAUAGUUGCUCUGCCUAAUUUUCAAACUUGAAGUUCUCUCUCAAGUUUAGACAUAACUGUUAUAAUUUAAAGCUUGCUCUAAACCUGAACUUGUGGGAAGAGAGCUUGAUCUGAAGUCUAAGUUGUUAACGAAUAUGAUAUGAGAAGGUUGAGUUGUUGUUUAUCUAUUCCUAGAGAUGCUAGAAUUCUAGAGUAUUUUAUCUUUGAAAAUCUUUAAAAUAUCACAUGAUGAGUUCCUGUAUGAUGAGAGUUUAAAUUUCUACCAUAGCCAUAUAUACAUGCUUGCUAGACUUUGAGCCACACAUUUACUUUUUACUGCUUAUGAGCAUUGAGUGUGGUCAAGCUGUGUAGACCCUUAGGAGCUUGUCAUGUGGUUAAAUCAAGAUUCACUUGCAUGUUCACUCACACAAGCUACUUCUACUCCGGAAGUACGCAUCCACAUAUAUCCACUCAUUUCCAUCUCCAAAGCCACCCAAAAGUAUUCUACUCCUAAUCCGGGAGAGAAUAGCCAAAAACAUUCUCCUAUUUCUGUUUUUCCCUAUGAAAUAAAUGCUCAAGUUAUCUUGGUUACUACCACUUGCUAUAUUAUUUCAGUAGAUGAGUACUCUAAAAAAAGAGAGAGAAAGGAUACGAGGAAAUAAAAAGGGGCAAGUGCACGGAACCUCGAAAGAAAAAAAAAGUAAGACGAGAGGUAAAAAUGGACAAGUGACCGACAGUAGAAUUAGGGGUACAAGAUACCCACCUGAGAGGAAAGAAAAAGAAAAUGUAGAGCAUCUCAUUCUCCUCAAAAAGUUUCAAAAGAGCAAGAACAGUAUGUAUACCCUCAACAGAGCAAAAGUAGAAUUAGACUUUCACCAUUCUUAUCACCAUCAUCACUAUACACCAUUUAUUCGCCACACAUGCACAUCUUGAUUUAACUUAUUGACUUGUUUCUCUGGAUCCAUGGUUUGACUAUGCAAUAAAUGUCUUGUAAGUAUGUAUACUUUAUCUCCCACCUAUGACCUCCAGAUAUCAAAGCCUUGUUAAAGUAGGGUG
RNAcentral lists this long non-coding RNA (8303 nucleotides) under Sorghum bicolor (sorghum). RNAcentral describes it as "long non-coding RNA (SBIC_LNC006685)". Lineage: Eukaryota; Viridiplantae; Streptophyta; Magnoliopsida; Poales; Poaceae. The record is from RNAcentral.